UACGAAGGGUGCAAGCGUUAAUCGGAAUUACUGGGCGUAAAGCGUGCGUAGGCGGUUUGUUAAGUCCGAUGUGAAAGCCCUGGGCUCAACCUGGGAAUUGCAUUGGAUACUGGCGAGCUAGAGUAAGGUAGAGGGUGGCGGAAUUCCCGGUGUAGCGGUGAAAUGCGUAGAGAUCGGGAGGAACAUCCGUGGCGAAGGCGGCCACCUGGACCAUUACUGACGCUGAGGCACGAAAGCGUGGGGAGCAAACAGG
Molecule: unclassified non-coding RNA, 253 nt
Filed under: uncultured Lysobacterales bacterium
Lineage: Bacteria; Pseudomonadati; Pseudomonadota; Gammaproteobacteria; Lysobacterales
Description: uncultured Xanthomonadales bacterium contains 16S-23S intergenic spacer region
Rfam family: Bacterial small subunit ribosomal RNA
Source: RNAcentral